GUCCACGCCGUAAACGAUGGGCGCUAGGUGUGGGAGGUGUCGACUCCUUCCGUGCCGAAGCUAACGCAUUAAGCGCCCCGCCUGGGGAGUACGGCCGCAAAGGCUAAAAACUCAAAAGGAAUUGACGGGGCCCGCACAAGCAGCGGAGCAUGUGGUUUAAUUGGAUGCGACGCCAAGAACCUUACCAAGGCUUGACAUGGUCGGGAAAGCUGGAGAAAAUUCAGCCCUCCUUCGGGACUCGAUCACAGGUGGUGCAUGGCUGUCGU
Molecule: ribosomal RNA, 266 nt
Filed under: uncultured bacterium
Lineage: Bacteria
Description: partial 16S ribosomal RNA
Rfam family: Bacterial small subunit ribosomal RNA
Source: RNAcentral